This 244-nucleotide ribosomal RNA is filed under the name uncultured bacterium. RNAcentral describes it as "partial 16S ribosomal RNA". It matches the Rfam family "Bacterial small subunit ribosomal RNA", at positions 529 to 772 of the family's 1533-position model. The record is from RNAcentral.
AGGGGGCAAGCGUUAUCCGGAUUUACUGGGUGUAAAGGGAGUGUAGACGGCAAGGCAAGUCUGAAGUGAAAGCCCGGUGCUCAACGCCGGGACUGCUUUGGAAACUGUUUAGCUAGAGUGCCGGAGAGGUAAGCGGAAUUCCUAGUGUAGCGGUGAAAUGCGUAGAUAUUAGGAAGAACACCAGUGGCGAAGGCAGCUUACUGGACGGUAACUGACGUUGAGGCUCGAAAGCGUGGAGAGCAAA